GAUGAAGAACGUAGCGAAAUGCGAUAAGUAAUGUGAAUUGCAGAAUUCAGUGAAUCAUCGAAUCUUUGAACGCACAUUGCGCCCCUUGGUAUUCCGAGGGGCAUGCCUGUUCGAGCGUCAUUAUAACCCUCAAGCUCAGCUUGGUGUUGGGGCCUGCUGCACUGGCAGCCCUUAAAAUCAGUGGCGGCGCCAUCUGGCUCUAAGCGUAGUAAUUCUUCUCGCUAUGGAGUCCUGGUGGAUGCUUGCCAUCAACCCCCAAUUUUUCUAUGGUUGACCUCGGAUCAGGUAGGGAUACCCGCUGAACUUAAGCAUAUCAGUAAGCGGAGGA
RNAcentral lists this unclassified non-coding RNA (328 nucleotides) under soil metagenome. RNAcentral describes it as "partial contains 5.8S ribosomal RNA, internal transcribed spacer 2, and large subunit ribosomal RNA". The stretch from base 1 to 120 matches the Rfam family "5.8S ribosomal RNA", at positions 35 to 154 of the family's 154-position model. The record is from RNAcentral.